UACGGGGGGGGCAAGCGUUGUUCGGAAUUACUGGGCGUAAAGGGUGCGUAGGCGGUCUGUUAAGUUGGAUGUGAAAACUCUGGGCUCAACCCAGAGCCUGCAUCCAAAACUGGCAGGCUAGAGUUCUGGAGGGGGUAGCGGAAUUCCUGGUGUAGCGGUGAAAUGCGUAGAUAUCUGGAGGAACACCGGUGGCGAAGGCGGCAUCCUGGACCGACACUGACGCUGAGGAGCGAAAGCCAGGGGAGCAAACGGG
Molecule: ribosomal RNA, 253 nt
Filed under: uncultured bacterium
Lineage: Bacteria
Description: partial 16S ribosomal RNA
Rfam family: Bacterial small subunit ribosomal RNA
Source: RNAcentral